Molecule: long non-coding RNA, 290 nt
Filed under: Ananas comosus (pineapple)
Lineage: Eukaryota; Viridiplantae; Streptophyta; Magnoliopsida; Poales; Bromeliaceae
Description: long non-coding RNA (ACOM_LNC001421)
Source: RNAcentral
UUUAAAAAUUUACUAUAAAAUUUAAAUUUAAAUUUUUAACUUUUAAAUUAAAAUUAAAAUUUGAGUUUUAAAUUGUGAAUUAAAUUUAUUUUUGGAUAUUAAAUUAGAAUUAAUAUUUUUUUUAUUAAAGUAAAAUUUUGAAUUUUGAAUAAAAACCUGAAUUAAAAUUUCAAUACUUUUAGUUCUAAACAUAUAUAUUUAAAUUUUGGAUUCUUCAUAAUUCAAGAAUAUAAAAAAAAAUAUUCAAUCUAUAUCUAUAUCUACAUUAUAUAUAAAUUAUAAAAUAAAUA